UAAUACGGAGGGUGCGAGCGUUAAUCGGAAUUACUGGGCGUAAAGCGCGUGUAGGCGGUUCGACAAGUUGGGCGUAAAAGCUCCCGGCUCAACUGGGAGAGGCCGUCCAAUACUGUCAGGCUAGAGUAGGACAGAGGAGAGGGGAAUUCCGCGUGUAGCAGUGAAAUGCGUAGAUAUGCGGAGGAACACCAAUGGCGAAGGCACCUCUCUGGGUCCAUACUGACGCUGAGAUGCGAAAGCGUGGGGAGCAAACAGGAUUAGAUACCCUGGUAGUCCACGCCCUAAACGAUGUCGACUGGUCGUUGGGGGGUAUGAACUUCUCAGUGACGUAGCUAACGUGGUAAGUCGACCGCCUGGGGAGUACGGCCGCAAGGUUG
This 377-nucleotide ribosomal RNA is filed under the name uncultured bacterium. RNAcentral describes it as "bacterial SSU rRNA". It matches the Rfam family "Bacterial small subunit ribosomal RNA", at positions 521 to 896 of the family's 1533-position model. The record is from RNAcentral.